RNAcentral lists this ribosomal RNA (472 nucleotides) under uncultured bacterium. Its description in RNAcentral is "partial 16S ribosomal RNA". It matches the Rfam family "Bacterial small subunit ribosomal RNA", at positions 28 to 507 of the family's 1533-position model. The record is from RNAcentral.
GAUGAACGCUGGCGGUGUGCCUAAUACAUGCAAGUCGAGCGAACAGACGAGGAGCUUACUCCUCUGACGUUGGCGGCGGACGGGUGAGUAACACGUGGAUAACCUACCUAUAAGACUGGGAUAACUUCGGGAAACCGGAGCUAAUACCGGAUAACAUGUUGAACCGAAUGGUGCAACAGUGAAAGACGGUCUUGCUGUCACUUAUAGAUGGAUACGCGUCGCAUUAGCUAGUUGGUAAGGUAACGGCUUACCAAGGCAACGAUGCGUAGCCGGCCUGAGAGGCUGAGCAGCCACACCGGGACUGAGACACAGCCCAGAAUCCUACGGGAUGCAGCAGUGGGGAAUAGUGGAACAUGGGCGGAGGCAUGAUCCAGCAAUGACGCGUGAGUGAUGAAGGCAGUAGAGUUGUAAAGCUCUUUUACCCGAGAUGAUAAUGACAGUACCGGGAGAAUAAGCCCCGGCUAACUCCGUG